AGAAUCAACGCUGGCGGCGUGCCUAACACAUGCAAGUCGAACGCGAAAGUGGAGCAAUCCAUGAGUAGAGUGGCAAACGGGUGAGUAACACGUGGGUGACCUGCCUUCGAGCGGGGGAUAACGUCCCGAAAGGGACGCUAAUACCGCAUAACAUCCUGCCUUUUAAGAGGUGGAGAUCAAAGCCGGGGAUCGCAAGACCUGGCACUUGAAGAGGGGCCCGCGCCUGAUUAGCUAGUUGGUGGGUAAUGGCUCACCAAGGCAACGAUCAGUA
Molecule: ribosomal RNA, 271 nt
Filed under: uncultured bacterium
Lineage: Bacteria
Description: partial small subunit ribosomal RNA
Rfam family: Bacterial small subunit ribosomal RNA
Source: RNAcentral